This is a long non-coding RNA of Vespa mandarinia (Asian giant hornet), 361 nucleotides long. Lineage: Eukaryota; Metazoa; Arthropoda; Insecta; Hymenoptera; Vespidae. The record is from RefSeq and is a predicted model, not a curated record.
CGAUCGAGAGUGAUCGGAUCCGCCAUUGUUGCGGUUGGAAUGAAAAAUCAUCUCUCGACCUUGGCAGAUGUUGUACAGAGAUUGAAACUGGUAACAACAAUGAGACGUGCCAAUUCUAUGCUUAUGAUUUUGCGAAACAACAAUGACUUAUCGAAAUAGAAACGAAUCGUGAUUCGUGGAUUUGUAUUACAAUGAAUGUUAAUAAAUAUAUUUAUCGUGAUUAUCUGAGCGAAUCGAAGAAAUCGUUUGCGAUAAAAAAGUAAUCGAAUGCAAAGUAAGUAGAUACGCUUUUCGAAUCAACUGAGGAAAAACGAGAACGUUCGAUGUCAUUUAAUAGAUAUAUACUAUUUUAUUUAUUAGG